UACGAAGGGGGCUAGCGUUGUUCGGAUUUACUGGGCGUAAAGCGCACGUAGGCGGAUAUUUAAGUCAGGGGUGAAAUCCCGGGGCUCAACCCCGGAACUGCCUUUGAUACUGGGUAUCUCGAGUUCGAGAGAGGUGAGUGGAAUUCCGAGUGUAGAGGUGAAAUUCAUAGAUAUUCGGAGGAACACCAGUGGCGAAGGCGGCUCACUGGCUCGAUACUGACGCUGAGGUGCGAAAGCGUGGGGAGCAAACAGG
This 253-nucleotide ribosomal RNA is filed under the name uncultured bacterium. Its description in RNAcentral is "partial 16S ribosomal RNA". It matches the Rfam family "Bacterial small subunit ribosomal RNA", at positions 524 to 776 of the family's 1533-position model. The record is from RNAcentral.